RNAcentral lists this long non-coding RNA (873 nucleotides) under Salmo salar (Atlantic salmon). Its description in RNAcentral is "lncRNA (ENSSSAG00000099484.1)". Lineage: Eukaryota; Metazoa; Chordata; Actinopteri; Salmoniformes; Salmonidae. The record is from RNAcentral.
UGCUUAUCUAAGAUGGUGAGGAAAUUACUUUUAAAGAACGACCAGGCAUCCUCGACUGACAGGAUGAGGUCAAUAUCUUUCCAGGACACCCGGGCCACGUCGAUUAGAAAGGCCUGCUCGCAGAAGUGUUUUAGGGAGCAUUUGACAGUGAUGAGGGGUGGUCAUUUGUCCCAUAGCGGAUACAGGCAAGGAAAUCAGUCAAUUGAAAUAAAAUCAUUAGGCCCUAAUCUAUGGAUUUCACAUGACUGGGAAUACAGAUAUGCGUCUGUUGGUCACAGAUGCCUUAAAAAAAAGGUAGGGUUGUGGAAGAAAACCAGUCCGUAUCUGGUGUGACCACCAUUUGACUCAUGCAGCACGACACAUCUUCUUAGCAUAGAGUUGAUCAGGCUGUUGAUUGUGGCAUGUGGGAUGUUGUCCCAUUGUUCAAUGGCUGUGCGAAGUUACUGGAUAUCGGCAGGAACCGCAACACACUGUCGUAUAUCCCAACAUGCUCAAUGGGUGACAUUUCUGGUACCAUCGUCUUUUCUUUUGUGGAAUACAUGCCUUUACCCAGAUGAGGACCCCAUUCCAUUCUUAGCAACGCUGGCCCAUCUCAACUACUGACCUGUCUUUUUGUUUGUCUCUGGUUUGGUCCGACUGCGCUCUGAGCUGUGCCUGGUGACGGAUGCUAAGCACUCGGCCAACAUGACGGCGCUGACUCUCUGCCGCCUCUACAGCCUGUCCAUCCAGGCCUUCUGGACCGUGCUGCAGAGGUUCCCUAAGCAAGAGGCCCACAUCAGCCAUGUGGCCCUCCAGCACCCCACAUCCUGCUCCAACCUUCUCUGUGACAGUCACUAAGUCCUCCGUCUGUCCACACUGCAGCAUCUGGUCUUA